CCCUUGGCCUGAACUGGGGAGGGGGCGCCCUCCACUCACCGCCUGAGUCCCUGGAACGAAGAGGGCCAGGACAUCCUGGAUUUCUUCAGGCCGGGUCGGUGGCCCGUCUCCACGGCGUAGGAGGUGCGGUCCAUGGCGCGGCAGUACAGAUAUUGGAGUUUUGUGGCACAGUCCAAGAGGGUCUUUGUGAGUUUCUGGGUUACUUUUGGACAUUCCUGAAAGCUAUCAGCACUUACCAUCAGCACAUCAGUAUAAAAAGUGAAAAAUCAGGUAAGGAUCCUAGGCAUGGACAAAAUGGCAACUUGGCCAAGGGCACACAACCAGUAGAUGAAGCCAGGGUUCCUUCCGACUGCCCACUCCAGAGCUCAUACUCCAGAGUGUCCUGUGCACUUCUCUGCAGUUCCUGUACCUGGUCCACUAUGAAUACGUCUUGUAACCAAGGACACUGUCAAGUUCCGCAUGAAUGAAGCAGAAUGUUCUAUUUAAGAGAAGGAAUGUACGUGUCAGGCGGAGCUACUUUGAAUUCCUAGAACUUGUGUGUUUUUGUCAAGCUUUGUAACUUUGCUGAGUCUUAGAUUCCUUAUCUGUAAAUCAGUUAUUCAUGAUAACAGUUUGUAAGGAUCAAAUAACCUAUAAUUACCAAUCUAUAAUUACUAAAUAAAUAAUCUAUAAUUACUAAAAGGCAUUAGAAAUUUAAAUCCAGGCCUCUCUUGCCUUUAGAUUUGUGCAAAAUACUGUUUAACGUACCUAGCAAAUAUACAAAAAACUGAGACAUUUAUGUGUUCUCUCUUCCUCCCCCAUCAUACGGUUAUUGUAAGGAAACACAAGGAAAGGCACUCCAGAUGCCCAAAUUAGAGACCUUUGAGUGACAGGAGACAGAUUCCUUCCCACGUGUCAAGAUUAGCCCCCCAAGUUUUCACUUAUAAGCCUCUAAGGGGUCUGUGAAUAUUUUAGGUGAUUAUCCAAGACCACCAAAUGCAAUUCCUAAUGUCACUUUAGCUAUUGUUAAUUGGAAGAUGAAAAAGUCUAACUCAUUAAAUUGAAUGGCUUUUCCUCAAGUGACAGACGUGUUAUACUUUCCAGUAGUACCACAAUUCUCCCUUAAGUUCUGAAGUAAACAAAGCUGCAAAGAAGCUCUAGGCAUUGACAGAAGCUGAGUUUCUUAAUCUGUCCUCAAGGAAUACACGUUCCUCCCAACAAGGAGGAAUUAGGAUCAGUACCUGGGGCACCCGACAAACUAACUUGGAGUACAGCCCAGUUCGUCGGUUGCUUUACAAAUGUGACAUUUUAAAGGACGUAGUACCUUUUUUUUUAACACUGGGAAAAGGUGCUGUUUAUUCUGAUAGAAUUAUCCAGCUUCCAUAUAGCUUGUGAGUAGAAUAGAAGAAAAUAAAAACUUCAGAACAGGGUGGCAGAUGGGGAAUAUAUGGAAUGGCAUUUGGCACAGUGGCUAAGAUGCCACUUGGGCUACCACCACAUUGUAUUGGAGUGCACGAGUUUUCUGUCCAAUUCCAGCUUCCUGCUAAUGCUCACCUCAGGAGGCAGUAGGUCAUGAUGGCUCAAGCGCUUGGAUCUCUGCUACCCAUGUGGGAGGUCUUGAGGGAGUUCUAGGUUCCUGACUUUGGCUUGGCCCAGUCCUGGAUGUUGAGGGCAUUUGGGGAGUGAGCCAGUGAGUAUGGAAGAUCUCUGCCUUCCAAAUUAAAAAUGAAUAAAUUAAUUAAUUAAAAAAGGAAAAAAUAUAAAUUUACAUUCAAGACAGGCUGCCCAACAUGUUAGCUUUUUAACAUGUUUCGCUUGCAUACUCUAUCUUCUUAGAGACUUGACACAAUGGUGCAUGAUUUUGUCUGUUUUGAUCUGCGUAGUUGUGACACAGUAUUGGAAGAAGGAGAAGGCAAAGAACCAUCAUUCUGCUCAGCAUGACACUACCAUCUGAAAAUAAAUGGAAGAUCCAGUCUAAUAUUACUAAGGCUGAGUAAUUCUUCCCCCUAGCUCCAUGCAUGGCAAACAGCAUAUUUUCUUCAUGCAUAAAUAAUAGAAAUCUCAUCUUUUGAACACACUGAAUUGUUCUGAAUGCUUUGUGGAGAGUGCCAAGUGCAGAUCUAGAUUUAUUUGCAAGUGGCUUCUGUGCAGGUUCAAAUAUGUGGACUCACUGACCAAUUAUAAACCACAGAUUGGGCUAAUUGGCCCACUUCUUCUUUGA
This is a long non-coding RNA of Oryctolagus cuniculus (rabbit), 2200 nucleotides long. RefSeq lists it as uncharacterized. The record is from RefSeq and is a predicted model, not a curated record. Lineage: Eukaryota; Metazoa; Chordata; Mammalia; Lagomorpha; Leporidae.